UGAACGCUGGCGGCGUGCUUAACACAUGCAAGUCGAACGGAACUACUCCAAUGAGAGUCUUCGGAAAGGAUUUGGUUUAGUUUAGUGGCGGACGGGUGAGUAACGCGUGGGUAACCUGCCCUAUACAGGGGGAUAACAGUUGGAAACGACUGUUAAUACCGCAUAAGCGCACAGGAGCGCAUGCUCCGGUGUGAAAAACUCCGGUGGUAUAGGAUGGACCCGCGUCUGAUUAGCUGGUUGGCGGGGUAACGGCCCACCAAGGCGACGAUCAGUAGCCGGCCUGAGAGGGUGAACGGCCACAGUGGGACUGAGACACGGCCCAAACUCCUACGGGAGGCAGCAGUGGGGAAUAUUGCACAAUGGGGGAAACCCUGAUGCAGCGACGCCGCGUGAGCGAAGAAGUAUCUCGGUAUGUAAAGCUCUAUCAGCAGGGAAGAAAAUGACGGUACCUGACUAAGAAGCCCCGGCUAACUACGUG
Molecule: ribosomal RNA, 478 nt
Filed under: uncultured bacterium
Lineage: Bacteria
Description: partial 16S ribosomal RNA
Rfam family: Bacterial small subunit ribosomal RNA
Source: RNAcentral